UGGGGAAUUUUGGACAAUGGGCGCAAGCCUGAUCCAGCCAUACCGCGUGAGUGAAGAAGGCCUUCGGGUUGUAAAGCUCUUUCAGACGGAAAGAAACGGUUACGGCUAAUACCCGUGACUAAUGACGGUACCGUAAGAAGAAGCACCGGCUAACUACGUGCCAGCAGCCGCGGUAAUACGUAGGGUGCGAGCGUUAAUCGGAAUUACUGGGCGUAAAGCGUGCGCAGGCGGUUUGGUAAGACAGAUGUGAAAUCCCCGGGCUUAACCUGGGAACUGCAUUUGUGACUGCCAGACUAGAGUGUAGCAGAGGGGGUAGAAUUCCACGUGUAGCAGUGAAAUGCGUAGAUAUGUGGAGGAAUACCGAUGGCGAAGGCAGCCCCCUGGGCUAACACUGACGCUCAUGCACGAAAGCGUGGGGAGCAAACAGGAUUAGAUACCCAAGUAGUCCCUGAGCGGGCUGGCAAGGCGCAU
Molecule: ribosomal RNA, 471 nt
Filed under: uncultured bacterium
Lineage: Bacteria
Description: bacterial SSU rRNA
Rfam family: Bacterial small subunit ribosomal RNA
Source: RNAcentral